RNAcentral lists this small RNA (347 nucleotides) under Histoplasma ohiense. RNAcentral's name for it is "hypothetical lncRNA". Lineage: Eukaryota; Fungi; Ascomycota; Eurotiomycetes; Onygenales; Ajellomycetaceae. The record is from RNAcentral.
CCAACCAAUUGCCCCGCUGCGUGCUUGGUUUCCCUGCUAACUCAUGAUAUUAUAUAAUGUCAUGCCAGUAGUUAACUAACUAUUGCUCUAAUUAUCAAUGGUUAUCGCUGAAUCCAGAGUCUGCCCUUUCCGUGCAUCUUCCUGCUUUCUAUUGUUAUUGUUGCUGUCUGCCUUUGCCGAGGGCCUCCACUCAAUGUCUUUUAUAUAAAUAACAGAGCGCUCUCUCCUCUUAAUCUCUCCAAUUCUUAGAGUUUUUUUUUUUUUUUAAUAUAUUCUCUUUAUACCCGAUGAGUAGUAGCUAAGAUUCUCCAUGCAUAUAAGCAAAUGCAGUAGUAUAAAUAAAUAUC